AUGGCUCACGGUCAAAGAGGCUAUAAGCACUGGGCGAUGGAUGCAAGGUAUACAGCGAAUGGACAGCCACGAGCAACUAUGUCAAUUUGUUGGCCUGUGGGAAAAAUUGCAGCUGGUGAACUUGUCAACUCAAAGGGACAAAAUCAAGUGGUAUACUCGGCGAGUUCUGCUUAUGAGGUCCAAUUCUCUGCCAGGAUUGAGCAGCCCGGGAUUGCCCGGGUGUGGAGGAGCAAGCUAGAAGGGAAGGUGAAAUUCUACAUGUGGCUCCUGCUGCAGAACAGAAACUGGACUGCCGACCGGCUACAGGCGAGAGGAUGGCCACACAACGCCUCUUGCAAGCUUUGUGACCAGGAGCAGGAGACCGCGGUGCAUCUCACGCUUCAAUGUUGUUAUGCGAGAGAGGUCUGGCAUCUCUUCCUUGGUACCAACGACAGGAUGUACAAUGGUGUGUCUUCGGCAAGUUCAGUUUCAGAUUGGUGGAAGAUGCUUUGUACGCAAAGAGGAGCGCCAGCAAGGACGGAGGAAGAGAUAACUCUGUCGGCAUACAUCGCCUGGCACCUAUGGAAGGAGAGAAACCGUCGAGUUUUCGAGGAUAAGGACCUGACUCCGAGGGCGUUGGUAGACAUGAUUCGUGAUGACAUUACAUUGCUUAGUGAGGCUUUGAGACCCAUCCCUAUGGCAGAGGGGUAG
Molecule: ribosomal RNA, 690 nt
Filed under: Triticum aestivum (bread wheat)
Lineage: Eukaryota; Viridiplantae; Streptophyta; Magnoliopsida; Poales; Poaceae
Description: partial small subunit ribosomal RNA
Source: RNAcentral